UUUUGGAAUAUCAAAAUGGCGGCUAUGUUAUACUUUUAUACCUACUACCUACUCUAGAGUCUAAUGUCAUUCUUCAUUGAUGUUCAAUGUAAAAUUUGAAUUAAUAGUCGAACUCUUAUUAUUUACAAUUUAGAGUAUAUUUUCAAGAAAAGCUUUAAAAAUGGCUUGGCAAAUACCAGGUCCAUGGAACCCAGGGUUAUCUUUAGCUCCUGAUCCUUCUACUAUGAAUAUGACCGGUAUGAGUUCACUUACCGCCGAACAAUGGAGCUUGAUGCAACAGCAAAACUGGCAGCAAUGGGCUCAAUGGCAGCAACAGUAUGCUCAAUGGCAAACUCAAUAUGGUGAUAAAUAUGCCAAUCAAAUGCAAGGAAUGCCACAGUUAGGAAUGGUUCCACCGCAACCAACAACAAUUCCACCCCCAGCACCGCCUCCACCAGAAAAGCCUCCUCCUCCACCACAUGAAAAUGACCAGCCUUUGUAUUGUGAGCCCCAUAUUCCAAAAGUGUUGCCAUCCAACCAUACUCAAAUGUAUAAUCAAAGUUUUAAUAAUCAUAAUGCAGGCAAUAUAAAUUUAUGUAACAAACAAAAUCAGGCUUACAAUACAGAGAAUAAAUGUGAUGCACCACCUCAACCCACAAAUUCAGUGAACAGUGAAGCAUUAAUGAAGCUAGCUGAAGAAGAGAGGUUGUUUGAUGUCCAAUUUAAGAAAUGGGAAGAAGAAAUAGAAAAAUGGAAAAAAGAAAAUGUUAAUCACCCUGACAAAAGAGCUUAUGGUGAGUAUGAGCAGAAGUUUGAGGCUUGCCGUGCUCAACUAUUAGAGAGAAGACAACAGAUGAAUCAAAAACGGGCAAGCCUUAUGAAUAGUGUGUCUCAAACAUCAAGCACAGGUAAUACACAAAUUUCUUCAUUAAAUCAAAAUACAUGUUCUAACCAGACUCAACCAUGCCAGAUUACUAAACCGCCUCAGAGCUAUCCAAAUCAAACUUCUGAUUAUAAUAAUUAUAAAGAUGAUUCUAGAAGUAACAAUAAAAGCAUUGAUUCUCAAGAUAGAUAUGAUUCAUAUCAGGGUCAUAAUAGUUUCUCAUCAUUGAGGAAAAAUGAAAGUAACUUGAACAUGUCAAAUAAGCGUUGUAAACAAGAUGAGAUACCAAAACCAAGUUUUCUAACCACUGAAGCAUCUAAAGGAAUUCCUGGAUUGGAUUUGGUCCGGCAUCCAGAAAAGGCACCUCAGCAUGAUAUUAUUGAUAUAACUCAAGAGAAAACAGACAUUCACACAACUACUGAGGUACGCCCUGAUUAUUCAACAAUUUCUCAGGGUAUCAAUAAUAUUCUUGGAGAUGAAAAAAUCAUGAAUAUACUUUCCAUGGUGCAAAUUCAAGCAUCAAAUAUUAACAGCUCAGUAAACAUAAAGACACAACAUUCAGAUGGAGAGUGGAAUAGAGGUUUUAAUAAAAAUCAGGAUAAUUUUGAUAAUAGAUCACAAGGUGGUAAUUUUGACAAUCAAUCACCAGGUGGUAACUAUGAUAACCGACCCCAUAAUAUACAGGUUCAACAACAGCCUCAAAACAAUUAUGGCAUUAGACCACCACCAUCCAAUAACUUUGGUACCAGAUUACCACUACCUAAUACUUUUGUAAACAGAACACCAGCCCCAUACAACUAUGAAAACAGACCACUAGUACCAAAUGUACCAAUAAAUCAGCAAAAUAGACCAUAUCCACCAAAUAAUUUUGAAAAUAGAAGUGCUGAUUAUGGUAUAGGACAAACAAAUUUUGAUAAUAGGUCUAACAUGCGCAAUGGACCUGAAAACAACAGUCAAAUGCCAAAGAACAAUUAUAAACAGCUUUAUUCUAGGCAGCCACAUGAUGGGUAUGAUCAAAGCUUCAAUGAAAAUAUUGACAGUUAUGAUCAGUAUGGGCAUCCUGAGAGGAGAAAUACAGGGAAUAAAUCAGCACCUCCUCCUCAACCUCUUUUAGAAAUUAAUACUGGCAUAAACAAAGUCACUAGUUUUGACCAAAGACCAGAUAUACCAGCUCCAGUCCCGACAAAGGUUUCUUGGUCAGAAGACCCAUUAUUUUCACCGUCAAUCAUUGUUGAAUAUGAGCACAAGUCCUUAAGGUUAAAAGCUCGUAAAUUCAUUGAACCAGUACAUACAUUUGACUAUAACCACAAAUCUAAAGAUGAAGAUAAAAAAAGAGAUUUUGAAAAAGAAGUGGAUGAACUAUUUACAAGAAAACCGCGAACUGAAAAAGAAAGCAGUCGACGUUUUCGAGACACUUAUUUACGAGAUUAUGAAGGAAGACCUGAAAUGCCUAAGGAAGAAUUUAGACCUAGACCGCAAAGAGAUGAACUCUCUUUCCGUGAAGAAAGACCUAGAUUAGAAGACAGAUUGGAUGAAAGGAGACAUGAUGAUCGUGAUAGGUUUAGGCGUGAGGAAUACAGGGAUAGAGAAAGAGACAGAGACAGGGAUGUUGGGCGUGAUAGAGAAAAUGCUCGUGAAAGAGAUAUUAGAAGUCGGGAUGUUGCAAAAGACCGUGAUUACGGACGUGAUUUAGGUAGAGAUCGCAAUUUAGGUCGGGAACGAGAAUAUGGAAGAGAAAGAGAUUUAGGAAGAGAUAGAGUAGUAGACCAUGUAAAAGAAAGAGAUAUUGAUUAUGGACGAGAUAGAGAUCUGCAAAGAGAUAGAGACGUUAAGGAUAGAAUAAGAGGUUUAGACAGAGAUAGAAACCAUAGUAGAAGUCGUGACAGUGAGCAAAGAAAACGGGCUAUUAGUGUGGACAGUGAAAUUGGUACUGAUUCUAAGAAAUAUAAAAUUGAAAACCCAAGGCCGACUGUUAUGAUUGAUGACAUCUUAGAGGAGCCAGGUCGAAGUAUGAGGCCAGAAAAAAUUGUUAUUAUUUUACGAGGUCCUCCUGGCAGUGGAAAAUCGUAUUUGGCGAAGUUAAUACGUGACAAGGAAGCUGAGCAUGGUGGUACAGUUAGGAUCAUGUCCAUUGAUGACUAUUUCAUGCAAGAGGGGGAAACAGAGGAAAAGGAUCCGAUUACUGGGAAAAUUGUGAAAAAACCUUUAUUAAAAUAUGAAUAUGAUGGACAAUUAGAGGAAACAUACAUAACAUCCUUAAAGAGAGCAUUCAAGAGGAGCAUCACAGAUGGCUACUUCUCAUUUUUGAUCUUCGACGCUGUCAACGACCAGUUAAGAAGUUAUGCGGACGUGUGGAAUUUUUCCAGACAAAAUGGAUUUCAAGUUUACAUCUGCACGAUGGAGUUAGAUCCACAAAUUUGCCACAAACGGAACAUACACAAUCGUAGUCUCGAAGAUAUUCAAGUUAUCUGCUCGCGUUUCUUCGACACUCCCGCGCACCAUAUCCUCCUCGACCCGACUACGUUGCUUCAGAGUGCCGCUAUUACGGACGUUACUAUGGAGGAUGCUGUUUCUAUGGAGGACGUUCAAGAAACAGAGAUGUCCCGGCAGGUCGAAGGUAGUUUUACCUCAAAGUGGGAGAGAAUGGACGAUGUCAACCAACUAGCCCGGCUUGAUGGAACGAGCAAACCACUCCGACCGAAGCUUUCCAUGGAAGACUACCUUCAGUUAGACGAAUGGACCCCUAAUAAAGCAAAACCUGGAAAGAAAACUAUGCAGCAUGGGUGAUCAUUAACAAUGAUUUCUAAAUGGAAGAAGUAUGAACAGGUAUCUAGGAAUUCCUUCAGCUAUUACUAAAGUAUACGCAAGAGAUAAUUAAAAUAAGUUUGAAAAGAUGCGGCUUGUUGUUAUGAGACGAUGAAAAACAAAAGAAGAAUAUCAUGAAGAAGACUUCUUUCAAAAAUCAAUGCGAAGUUACGAUCGAAUUUUGGACCGAGCUGUUCAAAGAAGUCAUUUCGUGCUUACAUGUAUGCGUCACCAACUUUCAUUUUCGGGGUAUUCCAAGCAAAAUAUUUAAAUAGGAAACAAUUAUACGAAUAUAAAAUUCCAAUCGGAAGACCAAUCUAAAAUUGACUUAAAAUAAACUUUUUUAAAAGAUAAACUUAGUUCUUUUGGCGCGAUGGAGAAAAAUGAUGAGAGUGAAUUUUUACGAUGCCGCGCGCACAC
Molecule: RNA transcript, 4087 nt
Organism: Pieris rapae (cabbage white)
Lineage: Eukaryota; Metazoa; Arthropoda; Insecta; Lepidoptera; Pieridae
Gene name: YLP motif-containing protein 1
Exons: 11
Source: RefSeq, a predicted model, not a curated record